GUGGGGAUUAGAUGGGAAGGAUGGACGAGAAUAAAAGGAUGGUGAAUUUUUUUUCUUUUAGUUAAUUUUUUUGUAUUUUUGUUAGGUGUACUUAUACUAUAUAAAAAUGAGUUGUGGUCAAAGAGGGACUUUGAAUUUCAACUGCAUGGAUAGGGGCAUUUUUGAAAUGUGGAAUGAUGUGGAGUUCAUUUUUAACUUUGGGUACAAGUGACAGCAACAUGCGUUUUGGUAUGUUUACAAAAAUCUCCUCAUGUUUGUACAUUCAAAGUGUUUAUUUAUGGAGACAUUUGGGUAUUUUUGGAAUGUAGGAUUAUUUUAUAAUCAUUUUGUAUCAGGUACAAGUCAUACAAGCUUAUGUAUUGGUAUAAUUACUUAAAUGGUGUUGUAAACACAUUGACUUGAAGUGUGGUAUUUAUUAUGCCAUUGAAAUGAAGACAUUUUGCUGUAA
RNAcentral lists this long non-coding RNA (448 nucleotides) under Coffea arabica (coffee). RNAcentral's name for it is "long non-coding RNA (CARA_LNC002891)". Lineage: Eukaryota; Viridiplantae; Streptophyta; Magnoliopsida; Gentianales; Rubiaceae. The record is from RNAcentral.